GCCUUCUUAGCUCAGUGGUAGAGCACAUGGUUUUUAACCACGUGGUCGUUGGUUUGAUCCCCACAGACGACG
Nicotiana sylvestris (wood tobacco) is the source of this 72-nucleotide non-coding RNA. Lineage: Eukaryota; Viridiplantae; Streptophyta; Magnoliopsida; Solanales; Solanaceae. The record is from Rfam.